Molecule: ribosomal RNA, 465 nt
Filed under: uncultured bacterium
Lineage: Bacteria
Description: partial 16S ribosomal RNA
Rfam family: Bacterial small subunit ribosomal RNA
Source: RNAcentral
CCUACGGGGGGCAGCAGUAGGGAAUCUUCCACAAUGGGCGAAAGCCUGAUGGAGCAACGCCGCGUGGGUGAAGAAGGUCUUCGGAUCGUAAAACCCUGUUGUUAGAGAAGAAAGUGCGUGAGAGUAACUGUUCACGUUUCGACGGUAUCUAACCAGAAAGCCACGGCUAACUACGUGCCAGCAGCCGCGGUAAUACGUAGGUGGCAAGCGUUAUCCGGAUUUUUUGGGCGUAAAGGGAACGCAGGCGGUCUUUUAAGUCUGAUGUGAAAGCCUUCGGCUUAACCGGUGUAGUGCUUUGGAAACUGUGAGACUUGAGUGCAGAAGCGGAGAGUGGAACGCCAUGUGUAGCGGUGAAAUGCGUAGAUAUAUGGAAGAACACCAGUGGCGAAAGCGGCUCUCUGGUCUGUAUCUGACGCUGAGGUUCGAAAGCGUGGGUAGCAAACAGGAUUAGAUACCCGAGUAGUC